RNAcentral lists this ribosomal RNA (253 nucleotides) under uncultured bacterium. Its description in RNAcentral is "partial 16S ribosomal RNA". It matches the Rfam family "Bacterial small subunit ribosomal RNA", at positions 524 to 776 of the family's 1533-position model. The record is from RNAcentral.
UACGUAGGGAGCGAGCGUUAUCCGGAAUUACUGGGUGUAAAGGGCGCGUAGGCGGGCAAGCAAGUCAGAUGUGAAAUGCCGGGGCUUAACUCCGGAGCUGCAUUUGAAACUGUUAGUCUUGAGUGCAGGAGAGGAAAGCGGAAUUCCUAGUGUAGCGGUGAAAUGCGUAGAUAUUAGGAGGAACACCAGUGGCGAAGGCGGCUUUCUGGACUGUAACUGACACUGAGGUACGAAAGCGUGGGGAGCAAACAGG